ACAUGCGACCACAGAUUCAAGAGAAUUGGGCAUCCCGUCCGCUCUGCCAGACACAAGCUUGAAAUCGGUGGAUUAGUAGUUGGGUGGGUGACCACCAGCGAAUACCACUGUUGCAUGUU
Molecule: ribosomal RNA, 119 nt
Filed under: Drepanopeziza brunnea f. sp. 'multigermtubi' MB_m1
Lineage: Eukaryota; Fungi; Ascomycota; Leotiomycetes; Helotiales; Drepanopezizaceae
Source: RNAcentral